Molecule: transfer RNA, 74 nt
Filed under: Gloeobacter violaceus SpSt-379
Lineage: Bacteria; Bacillati; Cyanobacteriota; Cyanophyceae; Gloeobacterales; Gloeobacteraceae
Description: tRNA-His
Rfam family: tRNA
About the family: Transfer RNA (tRNA) molecules are approximately 80 nucleotides in length. Their secondary structure includes four short double-helical elements and three loops (D, anti-codon, and T loops). Further hydrogen bonds mediate the characteristic L-shaped molecular structure. tRNAs have two regions of fundamental functional importance: the anti-codon, which is responsible for specific mRNA codon recognition, and the 3' end, to which the tRNAs corresponding amino acid is attached (by aminoacyl-tRNA synthetases). tRNAs cope with the degeneracy of the genetic code in two manners: having more than one tRNA (with a specific anti-codon) for a particular amino acid; and 'wobble' base-pairing, i.e. permitting non-standard base-pairing at the 3rd anti-codon position.
Source: RNAcentral
GUGGUUGUAGCUCAGCAAGUGAGAGCGCCUGGCUGUGAACCAGGAGGUCACGGGGGCAGAUCCCGUCAACCACC